RNAcentral lists this ribosomal RNA (1902 nucleotides) under Triticum aestivum (bread wheat). Its description in RNAcentral is "partial small subunit ribosomal RNA". The record is from RNAcentral. Lineage: Eukaryota; Viridiplantae; Streptophyta; Magnoliopsida; Poales; Poaceae.
AUGAUAACUACACACACAGCACAACCUUGUUCUAACAUCCUGAAAGAGUUUUCCUAUAGGUUCAUUAAGGUUGAAAAGAUAAGGGAUCAGUUGCUGGAGUGCAACAAGGAGACCUACCGGGUUCCAGAUUAUGUCAAGGAAAAGAGAUUCCAUAACUGGCUAGAAGGUGCCAGGGACUGGGCUGUUAGUAGAAGUAGAUUCUGGGGUACUCCACUUCCAAUAUGGAUCAGCCAAGAUGGUGAAGAAAUUGUAGUUAUGGAUUCCAUUGAAAAACUUGAAAAAUUAUCUGGUGUCAAGGUUAGCGAUCUUCACCGACAUUAUGUUGAUGAUAUUACGAUUCCGUCUAGAAGAGGACCAGAGUAUGGGGUGCUCAAACGGGUUGAAGAUGUUUUCGACUGCUGGUUUGAGAGCGGCUCCAUGCCAUAUGCCUACAUUCAUUAUCCAUUUGAGAACCGUGAACUAUUCGAGAAUAAUUUUCCUGGAGACUUCGUGGCAGAGGGCUUGGACCAAACACGUGGAUGGUUCUAUACUUUGAUGGUGUUAUCAACAACAUUGUUUGGGAAGCCUGCUUUUAAGAAUCUUAUUUGCAAUGGUCUUGUCUUGGCCGAGGAUGGUAAGAAAAUGAGCAAGAGUAAAAAGAAUUACCCUGCUCCAACAAAAGUCAUUGAUGAAUACGGAGCGGAUGCGUUGAGGCUGUAUUUGGUAAAUUCGCCAGUUGUACGCGCAGAGUCUCUACGAUUCAAAAGGAGUGGUCUUUUUGGUGUUGUGAAAGAUGUUUUCCUCCCAUGGUAUAAUGCAUAUAGAUUUCUUGUCCAAAAUGCGAAGAGAUUUGAGGUUGAGGGCCUCGGAGCAUUUUCUCCGAUUGAUCAAACUUCACUUCUGAAAUCAUCCAAUGUGUUAGAUCAUUGGAUAAAGUCCGCAACUGAAAGUCUGGUCAGCUUUGUUCGGUAGGAGAUGGAUGCCUAUCGGCUUUACACGGUUGUGCCAUAUUUGGUAAAAUACAUUGACAAUCUUACUAAUAUAUACGUGCGUUUCAACCGCAAACGGCUAAAAGGACGCACUGGAGAAGAAGACUGUAAAGUUUCACUUUCAACUCUCUAUCAUGCACUUGUAACAACUUGUGUGGCGAUGGCUCCAUUUACGCCUUUCUUUUCUGAGGUUCUUUAUCAAAAUCUGCGAAAGGUUUCAAGUAAUUCAGAGCAGAGCAUUCAUUUUUGUAGUUUCCCAUCCACAACUGGGGAGAGAGAUGGGCGUGUUGAGCAGAGUGUAAGCAGGAUGAUGACCAUCAUUGAUCUUGCUCGCAAUAUUCGAGAACGGCGCAGCAAAGCUCUCAAAACACCACUUAAGGAGAUGGUGGUCGUUCAUCCUGACAAUGAAUUUCUGGAAGACAUUGGUGGAAAGCUAAAAGAGUAUGUCAUGGAGGAGAUGAAUGUUAAGACUGUCACAACAUGUGAUGAUCCCAUGAAGUAUUCUGUUUCGCGGGCAGAACCCAAUUUUAGCGUACUGGGCAAAAGACUGGGAAAAGACAUGGGCAAACUAUCAAGUGAAGUUAAGAAAAUGACUCAGGACCAAAUCUUGGCAUUUGAACGAAGUGGAAAGGUUUCAUUCCUUGGUCAUUGCUUGACGGUAGACGAUAUUAAGGUGGUCCAACAAUUCAAGCGUCCAGCAAAUAUGUCAGAGAAGGAAAUGGAUGCUGCAGGAGAUGGUGAUGUUUUGGUCAUAUUGGAUCUUACAGCUGAUCAAUCGUUGUUUGAAGCUGGAGUGGCUCGCGAGGUCGUAAACAAAAUUCAGAAGUUACGUAAGGUUGGUCAGCUGGAACAUACGGACCUGGUUGAUGUGUAUUACAAAUCUGAAGAUGAUAACAACACACUUCAAGAAAUAUUGCAGUCACAGGUAAGCUAG